RNAcentral lists this ribosomal RNA (491 nucleotides) under uncultured eukaryote. RNAcentral describes it as "SSU rRNA". It matches the Rfam family "Eukaryotic small subunit ribosomal RNA", at positions 13 to 523 of the family's 1831-position model. The record is from RNAcentral.
CCUGCCAGUAGUCAUAUGCUUGUCUCAAAGAUUAAGCCAUGCAUGUGUAAGUAUAAGUAUUGUACAGCGAAACUGCGAAUGGCUCAUUACAUCAGUUAUAGUUUAUUUGAUAUUUGAAAGUUACAUGGAUAACCGUGGCAAUUCUACAGCUAAUACAUGCUUCAAAACCUGACUUCGGAAGGGUUGUAUUUAUUAGAUAUUAAACCAUCCCCUCGGGGCUGUGAUGAAUCAUAAUAACUGAUCGAAUCGAGGUUCGCCUUGAUAAAUCAUUCAAGUUUCUGCCCUAUCAGCUGUAGAUGGUAGUGUAUUGGACUACCAUGGCUAUUACGGGUAACGGAGAAUUAGGGUUCGAUUCCGGAGAGGGAGCCUGAGAAACGGCUACCACAUCUACGGAUGGCAGCAGGCGCGAAAAUUGCCCAAUCCCGAUUCGGGGAGGCAGUGACAAGAAAUAACAACCCAGAACAUUGUUUCCGGGAUUGCAAUGAGAACAA